GUCCACCUGCCGCAGGGUGGGGCUGCUAGGGCCCCGCCGCGCGUGGGGGUCGCGGGGCUGCCCGGCGCGUGGAGGUCGGGCCACGUGCCGCUCCUGCGCGCCUGGGUGCGCAUCCCCAGCAGGGGCGCCGCUUUGCAUGUGAUUCCCCCCCCCCCCGCACCGAGUCCUCCCACGGGGCUCUGCACUGUCUACGCAGCCAGGUGCGCUCCGCAGGGACCCGGAGCUCUUGUCCCCAGGGACUCGAAGAAGGCAGCUCGGAAUCCCUUUCCCGGAGCGCCACCUACAGGCUGUCCAGAGAGACUCGGGCUACCCCCGCCCCCACUUCCGUUGGCUUCUAGGGGGUUGGCCCUGGCGGGUCCGCUGAGCCCCAACCCAGCUGCGCACUAAUGGAAACCAGAGGAAGGGCUGCGCAACGCACCCCGGGGGUGGGGCGGGGGGAAUGAGGACAAAAGGACACUCCGACCCAGUCCUGAUGGAGGCAGAGCCCAGAUUUCUUGGGCUAUUUUGAAAUGUUUUAAUGGCUUAAAUAUACGUAUAUAACAAGCUUGUUUGCCACUUAUAACAACUAAAGCUAGAAGAGGUACGCAGCCCCUGCUGUGAGGUCACCGUUUGGGGCCCGUAAGCCGGCACUUGCAGACUGCCCAUGGACAGCAUCACUUACGCUGUCGCGCCGGGGUGCGCUUCAUGGCCCCCUUUUCUAACGUCCUGGAGCCUGCACGGGGAUUCGCAGCAAGCCCAGGCGCUGCUGCUAAACUUCUAGAAAGAGGACGACAGAAUGAACUGGCGGCCUGCACACCCCCCAGUGGACUUAGACUCUCCGAAGGCAGGGCCGCUUCCGGGAUUCGGAGAAGCCUGUGCGUGCUCACCUCCUGUCCCAGAAAUCCUAGGUGUCUUCUUCUAGUGGCGAGAGCCAAGCACCUGACGCCUUCACCUGCUGCUGCUGCUUCCUUUCCUUCUUUGCUGGCGGUUUGCGGAAUGACGAUGCUGCGUCCUUGGAGCAGAAGUGGCAGCCGUGGCCCCAGAAGGCACAGUCCUACCAGCGGCAUCCAGAGGACACGGGUCUGUGUCACAGAACUCCCCGACCGCCCCCCCUCGGGCUCUGUGCCAGGGGACAGGGACCACGUCCACCUGUGAACAGUCAGCGUGGCCACCAGCACGAAUCUGCCGAGAAGCGAGGUCUCCUUCUCGAGAUGAGGACGGCUUCACCCUCCCCAUGACCCCUGGUGGAAGAGGGGGGUGUUAACGGGUGCUGAGGAAGAACACAGGUGCUCACAGCACUCUUGCUACCCAGGUGAGGCCUCGGAACCCGCCGCAGAGUCCCGCUCACCCGGGAACUCGUUGGACCUCGGAGUCCGGACGCCCACCCUCCACCCCCGAGCUCGGAAUCUGCAUUUGACGAGAUGCCCGGGGUGUGGGAUGGCGGCCGGCCCCCGGCGGGGUGGACGGCAAUGCGCAGAGGUAGGCUGGGUGCGCCACGGGGGAGCAGGAAGCCUGUCUUCACGGCACCAAUUUGCCACUGGGAGUCAAAGGCAAGGUCGCCAGCCAAGAGAGGUGUAAAGAAACAGGGUGCGGCCCUCGAGGGGAGUGGUUUAGACAGCAAGGGAGAGAGCGGACCAUGGCCGCGGGUGUGGAUGACUCAUCCUUACUGAGGACACGUGGCGGAGAAGAACACGAAUGUGUCCCCCACCCAUAAUGCUGGCGAUUUCAUCCACCUGUGCAUACAUUGUAACCUAGACGUGACAGUGGGGUGUCUGUUGCAAGCUUGGGAGGGUUGCACAGCCUGUGUGGUCAAGGGGGGAAGGCAAAACAGCGGCUGAAAUUCUGCAUGAGCUCUGCGGGGGAGGAGCUCACUAGGGGGGCAGGGGGACCGGCGGGAAGGACCACAAGACUCAGGGCUCAGCGAUGUCGUGGGUCCAGGGACGUGGGAGGGAGCACCUGAGCACGGGGGAAGGGGGGGUGACACAGGACGUGGUGCACUGGGAAUCCAGCUCAGAGACAGUGCGUCUGCAGGAGGGGGGGCCACCGCCCUAAAGCCCUGGCUGCCACACUGCGGUCCUCAGCGCCUGCUCCUGACCCGCUGCAACCAACACACAUUAAAUCCGGGCUGAGCCAUCUCAGAAAACAAGGCAGACCACAGCCGCAUAUCCCGCUAACAAUGCAAUUAUUCACCUGGCGGAGAAAUAAAAACCUAAUUACGUACA
RNAcentral lists this long non-coding RNA (2201 nucleotides) under Felis catus (domestic cat). RNAcentral describes it as "lncRNA (ENSFCAG00000041714.2)". Lineage: Eukaryota; Metazoa; Chordata; Mammalia; Carnivora; Felidae. The record is from RNAcentral.